AACGGAUUGUAAUACAUCAUAACAUAAMGAAGCCGCAUGACUUUGUUAUCAAAGAUUUAUCACUCAGGGAUGGGCUCGCGUYUGAUUAGAUAGUUGGUGAGGUAACGGCUCACCAAGUYGACGAUCAGUAGCCGGACUGAGAGGUUGAACGGCCACAUUGGGAMUGAGACACGGCCCAGACUCCUACGGGAGGCAGCAGUGGGGAAUAUUGCACAAUGGGGGAAACCCUGAUGCAGMGAUGCCGCGUGGAGGAAGAAGGUUUUCGGAUUGUAAACUCCUGUCUCAAAGGACGAUAAUGACGGUACUAGAGAGUCGKUC
RNAcentral lists this ribosomal RNA (318 nucleotides) under uncultured Bacillota bacterium. RNAcentral's name for it is "bacterial SSU rRNA". Lineage: Bacteria; Bacillati; Bacillota. The record is from RNAcentral.